AGAAUGAACGCUAGCGAUAUGCUUAACACAUGCAAGUUGAACGUUGUUUUCGAAUCAGAAUGAGAACAAAGUAGCGAACGGGUGCGUAACACGUGGGAAUCUGCCGAACAGUUUGGGCCAAAUCCCGAAUGAAUAAAAGCUAAAAAGCGCUGUUUGAUGAGCCCACGUAGUAUUAGGUAGUUGGUUAGGUAAAAGCUGACCAAGCCUACGAUGCUUAGCUGGUCUUUUCGGAUGAUCAGCCACACUGGGACUGAGACACGGCCCAGACUCCUACGGGAGGCAGCAGUGGGGAAUCUUGGACAAUGGGCGAAAGCCUGAUCCGGCAAUAUGGCGUGAGUGAAGAAGGGCAACGCAGCUUGUAAAGCUCUUUCAUCGAGUGUGCGAUUGUGACAGGACUCGAAUAAGAAGCCCCGGCUAACUCCGUGCCAGCAGCCGC
This 436-nucleotide ribosomal RNA is filed under the name uncultured bacterium. Its description in RNAcentral is "SSU rRNA". It matches the Rfam family "Bacterial small subunit ribosomal RNA", at positions 26 to 518 of the family's 1533-position model. The record is from RNAcentral.